Molecule: ribosomal RNA, 399 nt
Filed under: uncultured bacterium
Lineage: Bacteria
Description: bacterial SSU rRNA
Rfam family: Bacterial small subunit ribosomal RNA
Source: RNAcentral
GAACGCCUGUAGCAAUACAGGAGUGGCAGACGGGAGAGUAACACGUGGGAACGUGCCCUUCAGUUCGGAACAACCCAGGGAAACUUGGGCUAAUACCGGAUACGUCCGUAAGGAGAAAGAUUUAUCGCUGAAGGAUCGGCCCGCGUCUGAUUAGCUUGUUGGUGAGGUAACGGCUCACCAAGGCGACGAUCAGUAGCUGGUCUGAGAGGAUGAUCAGCCUCACUGGGACUGAGACACGGCCCAAACUCCUACGGGAGGCAGCAGUGGGGAAUAUUGGACAAUGGGCGCAAGCCUGAUCCAGCCAUGCCGCGUGAGUGAUGAAGGCCCUAGGGUUGUAAAGCUCUUUUGUGCGGGAAGAUAAUGACGGUACCGCAAGAAUAAGCCCCGGCUAACUUCGUG